Molecule: RNA transcript, 4768 nt
Organism: Magnolia sinica
Lineage: Eukaryota; Viridiplantae; Streptophyta; Magnoliopsida; Magnoliales; Magnoliaceae
Gene name: putative pentatricopeptide repeat-containing protein At3g15200
Exons: 3
Source: RefSeq, a predicted model, not a curated record
GACAAGUGGAACCCAUGGUUCCAUCCAGGCUGUUGGAAUUUCAAGAUUCAGUGGAUGGACUGCCCUCUGAAAAUAGCACUUCAGCGCCAAGCCUGCAAGUGGAUGUUUGAGAAGAGAGAGUUGAAAGAUUCAUAAGCAGAGGUGUUUCACUGCAUACUCGGGUUUUCAGUUCUGACUUGUGGGGCGGCUAGGCUCAUUGUUCAGAAAUUCAUACCAUGGGUCUAUUGUAUACCAGACUGCCGUAAAGUUUCCUCUUUUGGAAAAAUCCUGUGCCUGUUUGGGUGCUGCUUAAACACGAGUUCAUCUCAUUUUAGUCAAAUGGUAAUUGUGUAUUUGAGAGAUCAUAUUUCUUUUCGGUAGAUAAAAAAUAAUCUUCUUGACACCAACUAUCAUGAGCUCUAAUGCACAAUGAAAAUGAACUAAAAGCUCAUAUUGAGGUGGCAUCCAAACAGGGGCUUAGUCCUAGUUUGUGGUUUACAGAUGGAUGCAAGAGAAACAUUGGUGGUCCAUACUCAACUGAGAGGAGGCUUGGUAGUGGUGACCGGGAUCUUCCUAUCAAGGAGAUUCUCGGGGCAUGGUCCAUCCGCAGUGGCAGGCAACAGACUGAUGAUGGUCUGGAUGCUGGAUUACUUAACCAUGGCCCCCAAUUUGUCAUGACCAGCUCAAGGAUCCUAUGAUUGAUCCUAUGACUCUAAUAUCUGAGUGAUUUUUGGGAAUAUAAUAAACCAUCACAUCAUAUGAUGGGGAUUUUUAUUUAUUUAUUUACCACAGUUCCUCAAAGAAUUUUGAUUUUGACGAACCGUCUUUAUUUUAUAAAGUUGCCAAAGGGGCUUCUUGCGCAGGAAAUGAACGAAUACCUUUUCUGAAAGGUGGAGGUGAGUGUUGUGGGGCCAACAUGGCGUGUAUGACAUCUAACCCAUCCAACAGGUAGACCCACUAUGAUGAUGAGACGAACAGAAUAUCAGUUUGGUCCAAUAAUCAGCAGCGGGCCACACCGUAGAAAACAAUGUUCACCACCCAAAAAACAACGAAUUUGUAUGUGGGCCAUUUGAUGAACUUGAUGGGUGCACCUGUAGUCCGAUUGGGUACCAUUCAUGUGGGCCCCACAAUACUUGGACACCGAUCUUCAAAAACGUCAAGGCAUUGUUAGGUAAAAUUAGAAUUCUUGAGGAAAUUUGCCAGUAACAAUCCCUAUGAGAUGUUUCAAAAAUUCCAAAGUUACCUUGGAAGUAUAAAGAUUAAAAAAUCAACCGUUAAAUCAUUCAAUUGAAGGCUAGUAAGCCAGUAAAAAGAAAUAUGCUCCAAAUUCAGAUGGGAAACAGACGUUUAAGAUUGUCCCAUCACUGUGAUAUAGGUUAUGGCCCACUAGAAUGCGGCUAGAGAUUGUCCCCAGCACCACUUAGCAAAUGGUGCCAACACCAUUGACCCAUUAGAUGAGCAAGUCUGUCAGUCAAUCCUCACCGAGCACUUAAAUGACCACCUUGUGGAUUGGCCACUGUACAAAGAUGAGGUCUGUUUAUCCAUCCUUUUCAGCCACUGGCUAGUUUUCACUUGAACCGUCCAUCGUACUUUCAGCAAUAAGCCAUGUAAGAUCAUCCGCGUAGAGUGAAAUCUCGGUAAUGAAAUGGAGCCCACUAUUUGGACGGUUUACUUUGAGGUGUACGGAUCAGUUUUGUCCGUCUGUUUCCCAGUGAAGAGAUACGGAAGUCCCCCCCUCCUACACGUGGCAACAUGUCCCACAAUCUGAACCGUGGGUCUGCUAGGGCCAUCGAGUGGAUGGUCCACAGGUAAAAAAAUAACAUUACUGGACAACGCAGAUCCAGUUCCCGUGAGUUUUACUAGUUGAAUGUGAACCGCUGAUCAAACCGUUCUUUUCGUAGGCUACUCAUCUGAUCGAUAAAACACUCAAAUCCUGAUCAGUUUUGAUCUGUGUCCUAUCCAUGUGGUGUCCCACCAUAACAACCGUUCUGAUGAACAUUACUGAUGUCCAAGUGUACGGUGAGUAUGAAAAUGCAUAGAACUUUCAUGCAGCUACAUGCAUAUUAGUAUCUUCAGAAGGCAGGAAAAACAUCCCCGCCACCUCCAACCUCCCGCGGAGAAGCAAGCAGGCGUCAAUGGUCUCCAGAGUCCCAAAGACUCUCUUACAUCCUUCCUUUCUCUACUAUCGGAGUUGUUUCAUAGAUGAACAUCAUUCAUUAAAGAAGAUAUUUCCUUUUCUACGACGGAAUUUCAUGUCACACAUCCAAGACAGAUUUGGGCGUAACUGCACCGGAACCAAUAAAGAAAACUACCAAUUUUGGAAUAUUACUUUCCCGAGUCAUGCUCCAUACCAGAAUUUGUAUAUAGAAAGAGACCCAAACUCUUCCACUGAAUAUGAUGAGUAUCCUGGUUCAAGCUCACAUGCUGAGGUGGGGUCCAUGCCCGGUUCUGAUAACCUGGUUUUGCGCGAUGAUCCUUCAAUUAGCAAAGAUGCUGUUAUGAUCCAAAAUCUUCUGAAGGUUCAUCAAGACCCUGCUAAGCUGAAAUCAGCUCUUUAUCAGUGUGGACUUUCUGUUACUGAAAAUCUAGUUAUUGAGGUACUUCAGAGACAUCGCUCCGAUUGGUGUCCUGCUUUCUUGUUCUUCAAUUGGGCUUCUGGCCAAAAAGGCUAUUCUCAUGGAUCUAGAGCUCUCAAUGAGAUGCUUGAUAUUCUAGGGAGGAUGAAGCAAUUUGAAUUGAUGAGGAAACUAAUCGAUGAAAUCCCACAAGAGAAACGGACAUCCCUCGUCACUGAAAGAACGUUUGCAAUUCUGUUGAACAGAUAUGCAUCUGGUCACAAGGUAGAAGAAGCAAUAGAGAUGUUCUACAAGCGGGAAGAGUUCGGCCUAAAACUCGACAAUACCGCUUUCCACACACUUCUGAUGUCUCUCUGUAGAUACAAACACGUCGCAGCAGCCGAAUCUCUCUUUCUAUUGAAGCAGGAUGAGUUCACUCCAGAUAUAAAAAGUCGAAAUAUAAUCCUCAAUGGUUGGUGUGUGUUGGGAAGCUUACGUGAAGCAAAAAGGUUCUGGAAUGAUAUAAUCAUCUCCAGGUGCAAGCCUGAUCUGUUCACAUAUGGGAUUUUCAUCAAUUCCCUGACAAAGGCAGGGAAAUUGAGCCGGGCAGUUGAAUUGUUCACUGCCAUGUGGAAAAAGGGUUGCCCACCGGAUGUGGCAAUCUGCAACUGCAUUAUCGAUGGCUUAUGCUUUAAGAAGAGAGUGCCAGAUGCUCUCACCAUCUUCGGUGAAAUGAAUGAGCAUGGCUGCCUUCCAAACGUUGCAACUUAUAACUCUCUUAUAAAACACCUCUGCAAGAUUCGAAGGAUGGAGAAAGCAUACGAGCUCUUGGAUGAAAUGGAACAGAAGGGCUGCCCCCCGAAUACCAGGACUUUUGGGUACUUCUUCAAAUCAAUGAAGAAGCCGGAGGAAGUGCCUGGAUUGUUGGAAAGGAUGGAGAGAAGUGGUUGUAGACUAAUGGGUGACACCUAUAACUUGAUCUUGAAGCUGUACAUUGAGUGGAAUCAUCUAGAAGGAAUCCAAUCGAUGUGGGUCGAGAUGGAAAAGAACGGGAUGGGUCCCGAUCAGCGAUCUUAUACUAUAAUGAUCCAUGGAUUUUACAACAAUGGAAGGAUGGAUGAGGCUUUACGGUAUUUUGCUGAAAUGACAUUGAAAGGAAUGAUACCAGAGCCAAGGACCGAAUUACUGAUCAAGGCGAUUGAACUAAAGCAGGAGACGAAUGGUAGUUUAUCGAUUGCUACAGUUAAAGAUGAGAAGAAGAGAGGAAGAUAGAUCUCUUUGGAAGUUCUACACUGAUUUCCUUCUGUAGACUGAAGAAAGCGAAAGAAAGAUGACCGUCGCUUCAUGCACAAUGCUCAAAUUCACGAAAUCAUACGCUGGAACCAGCAGGAUCGGCCACAUGCUUGAACGAUGGCGAAGAUUAGUUUUUCGUGUGUGGGUGAGUGGGCAUGCCAAAGUCUACUCAAUUCAAAGGUUUGAUUGAAUCACUGGUGUUCCCUGCAUCAAGAUGGACAGAUUGGAGUUUGGACACAAAAUCCAAUUAUCCUCUCAACUAUCGGUUUGUGCUCCAUUUAGUCGAUUUGUGAAAGGGUAGGGGUUAGCCCUUUUAAAUAAGUUCUUUUUGCAUUGGGAUAAUAGAUGUGCGUCUACGAGCUCAUUAACAUUUUUUAUACCGGUCUUCAAGUUUGUAUAUUUCUUAAAUGAACAAGAACGUAUAAAUAAAUAAAAUAAAAUUAAACAAUGCCAAUUUUAUUGAUAUUUAAAUGUAUGGCCCAUAACAAUAGAUAGUACCAAUCAACCAAAAAAAUAGUCGAAAGGUAAAGAUAAAUACCUGAUACAUAUAUUGAGACAGACGAUCAAGGUGGGUGGUUAGUAGGAUGUGACCAAGUUAUUAUGAUUGACCAAAUUAGAACUUAAUUGAUCAUUCUUACAACUUAAGGUUAAUGAUAUUUACUUUACUCCUAAUGUAUUAUAGCGAGAGCUGUUAUGCAGUAACUAUAUAAGCUAGAACUAGGCCAGACUAAGAUAAGAUAAAUGUAAAGUAGAUAGAUGUGUUUGGAAUGAGGUCCCGAGUUCUUCAUCGUGUGCUCUUUUUAUAUGACAUGUGCACACGUGAGGUAAACUUGGACAAUUGUGCAUGUGCAUGAAAUAAUGUGUUUUGACAUGUACCAAUCUAGAGAUAGCUAUCCUCGAUCUUACCCUUCCUUUUUGAGAAAGACAUACAAUCCUUAUUA